CCGUUGUGUUCUUCACGGCAAUAUAUCGGGUCGGUGGCCCAGAGGGUGGGGGCCACUGCACCACCCAGCCUGCGAUGACUCAGUCUAACACACCAUCAUCAGUGUGCUCUGCGCUGUUUUCCCAAUUCCGGAUAAUUUGGAUUUCAAUUUGAAGCAUACGAUGGAAAGACGCCUAUCUCCACCCUCUCUUUAUUUGCCUUUGAAAAAUGGAUAUUUUUACGCAAGUCAGAUCUCAUCUGGAGAAAGCUUCCAUCUCAGGUUACAGAGAGAAGUCUGACAGUUGAGAACAGGAG
Molecule: long non-coding RNA, 293 nt
Organism: Mobula hypostoma (lesser devil ray)
Lineage: Eukaryota; Metazoa; Chordata; Chondrichthyes; Myliobatiformes; Myliobatidae
Exons: 4
Source: RefSeq, a predicted model, not a curated record